AAUAGAUACCCGGGUAGUCCUAGCUGUAAACGAUGAGCACUUAUCUGGGGAUCCUCCCAUAGGUUCCCGGAUGUAGCGAAAGUGUUAAGUGCUCCGCCGUGGGGAGUAUGAUCGCAAGGCUGAAACUCAAAGAAAUUGACGGGGGCUCACACAAGCGGUGGAGGAUGUGGCUUAAUUCGAGGCUACGCGAAGAACCUUAUCCAGGUCUUGACAUGUACGGAUUAACCCCGUGAAAGCGGGGCCACGAGCUUCGGCUGGAACGGUGCACAGGUGCUGCAUGGCUGUCGUCAGCUCGUGUCGUGAGAUGUCGGGUUAAGUCCCUUAACGAGCGAAACCCUUGUCUCUAGUUGCCAGCGAGUAAUGUCGGGGACUCUAGAGAGACUGCCGGUGUUAAACCGGAGGAAGGCGGGGAUGACGUCAAGUCCUCAUGGCCUUUAUGACCUGGGCUGCACACGUCCUACAAUGGCGUCUACAAAGGGAAGCAAGCUCGGCGAGAGUAAGCAAAACCCCGAAAAAGGGCGCCGUCAGUUCGGAUUGCAGG
This 541-nucleotide ribosomal RNA is filed under the name uncultured bacterium. Its description in RNAcentral is "bacterial SSU rRNA". It matches the Rfam family "Bacterial small subunit ribosomal RNA", at positions 777 to 1304 of the family's 1533-position model. The record is from RNAcentral.